GACGAACGCUGGCGGCGUGCUUAACACAUGCAAGUCGAACGGAAAGGCCCUGCUUUUGUGGGGUGCUCGAGUGGCGAACGGGUGAGUAACACGUGAGUAACCUGCCCUUGACUUUGGGAUAACUUCAGGAAACUGGGGCUAAUACCGGAUAGGAGCUCCUGCUGCAUGGUGGGGGUUGGAAAGUUUCGGCGGUUGGGGAUGGACUCGCGGCUUAUCAGCUUGUUGGUGGGGUAGUGGCUUACCAAGGCUUUGACGGGUAGCCGGCCUGAGAGGGUGACCGGCCACAUUGGGACUGAGAUACGGCCCAGACUCCUACGGGAGGCAGCAGUGGGGAAUAUUGCACAAUGGGCGGAAGCCUGAUGCAGCAACGCCGCGUGCGGGAUGACGGCCUUCGGGUUGUAAACCGCUUUCGCCUGUGACGAACCGUGAGUGACGGUAAUGGGUAAAGAAGCACCGGCUAACUACGUG
RNAcentral lists this ribosomal RNA (468 nucleotides) under uncultured bacterium. Its description in RNAcentral is "partial 16S ribosomal RNA". It matches the Rfam family "Bacterial small subunit ribosomal RNA", at positions 28 to 507 of the family's 1533-position model. The record is from RNAcentral.